RNAcentral lists this ribosomal RNA (506 nucleotides) under uncultured bacterium. Its description in RNAcentral is "partial 16S ribosomal RNA". It matches the Rfam family "Bacterial small subunit ribosomal RNA", at positions 30 to 523 of the family's 1533-position model. The record is from RNAcentral.
AUUGAACGCUGGCGGCAGGCCUAACACAUGCAAGUCGAACGGUAACAGGAAACAGCUUGCUGUUUCGCUGACGAGUGGCGGACGGGUGAGUAAUGUCUGGGAAACUGCCUGAUGGAGGGGGAUAACUACUGGAAACGGUAGCUAAUACCGCAUAACGUCGCAAGACAAAAGAGGGGGACCUUCGGGCCUCUUGCCAUCGGAUGUGCCCAGAUGGGAUUAGCUAGUAGGUGGGGUAACGGCUCACCUAGGCGACGAUCCCUAGCUGGUCUGAGAGGAUGACCAGCCACACUGGAACUGAGACACGGUCCAGACUCCUACGGGAGGCAGCAGUGGGGAAUAUUGCACAAUGGGCGCAUGCCUGAUGCAGCCAUGCCGCGUGUAUGAAGAAGGCCUUCGGGUUGUAAAGUACUUUCAGCGGGGAGGAAGGGAGUAAAGUCAAUACCUUUGCUCAUUGACGUUACCCGCAGAAGAAGCACCGGCUAACUCCGUGCCAGCAGCCGCGGUAA